CAAAUAAUUGAUUUCUAGCGCAUCAUAUUUAGAGGAACCCGUAUAUGCGAUCUUCUCCUUCGUGAAACUCGUUUCGUGCUAUUCUUAAUCGCUUCGCCGGGCACCGAGAGGUGAGAGAGAGAGAGAUGGCUGAGCAGAAGCAGCAAGAGGAGUUGGAGAGGGGAAAAAUGGUGGCGACUCCCUCUUUCGUAACCUUUCCAAAAUCAUCCAAUAACACUGAUACCACCGCUUCUGUCAAACUCCAAGCAGAGGACUCUGCAACAAGCCCUAAAAACAUGUGGCAGGUUUAUGCUCUUGGUGGUUUCAUGGUUCUAAGAUGGAUCUGGGCUAGAUGGAAGGAGAGGAAAGCUAGAGGAGGGUCAUCUGAGGAAGCAUCCACAUGAGGUCUUUUUUUUGCUUUUAGUGUACUCUUUUGAUCCUGGAGGCAGGCGAAAGUUGAUGACGCUUGGGAGAGGAAGGCAUCGCCUUUAAAUGGGAACAUUACUUUUGUGGUGAUUUUGACAGUUCAAAUAUUUUCUUAAUUCUCUACACUUCAUCUCACUUAUGAUUUGAAGGACUUGUAACUGGAACACAAACUGGUCUAUAAUGUGUAUAAGACAAACACAGUAAAGAUUGUCAAUUUGCAUGGCAGUGGGUAGGCUGGGUGUUCGAUGCAUUUAGGAAGCUAUACAAUAUGACUGUUGAACUUUGGUACAAGAAGCGCACAACUAUUCGUAGCUGUCAUGUAAAAUUGGGUGGCUGGAAGUGCGCCCUGGUUUGCACUCAAAAGCAUGAUAUAUGUUUUCAAAUUUUAUGUAAAAAUUGACUGCUUGAUUUCAUAUUUCACGGUUUCGAGU
Non-coding RNA from Amborella trichopoda, 836 nucleotides. Lineage: Eukaryota; Viridiplantae; Streptophyta; Magnoliopsida; Amborellales; Amborellaceae. The record is from RefSeq and is a predicted model, not a curated record.